RNAcentral lists this RNase P RNA (422 nucleotides) under Planctomycetota bacterium. RNAcentral describes it as "Planctomycetes bacterium (groundwater metagenome) RNase P RNA component class A". It matches the Rfam family "Bacterial RNase P class A". From Rfam's summary of the family: Ribonuclease P (RNase P) is a ubiquitous endoribonuclease, found in archaea, bacteria and eukarya as well as chloroplasts and mitochondria. Its best characterised activity is the generation of mature 5'-ends of tRNAs by cleaving the 5'-leader elements of precursor-tRNAs. Lineage: Bacteria; Pseudomonadati; Planctomycetota. The record is from RNAcentral.
CUCGGGGCGCAGACGGUCGAUCCUUUCCGUCGCUUCGGCGGCGGACGGGGUAGGAAAGUCCGGGCUCCAGAGGGCGGGGUGGUUCCCAGCGGGAACACGGGCCGCGAGGCCCGAUGGAAAGUGGCACAGAGACUCAGUCUGCCGAUGGCCUGCGGGUGACCGCGGGAUCAGGCGAGGGUGAAAAGGUGCGGUAAGAGCGCACCGGACCGCGCGAGAGCGCGGUCGCAUGCAAAACCCCACCCGGAGAAAGACCGAAUAGAUGCGCGGUGUCCUUCGGGACGAGGCCGGCCCGGCCGAAGUGGGCCUUGCGGCUCAAUCGCGCAAGGGUAGGUCGUUGGAGCCGUCCGGCGACGGGCGGCCGAGAUUGAUGACCGUCGCCCUCGCAAGAGGGGACAGAACCCGGCUUACGCGCCCCGAGCGCA